This 708-nucleotide long non-coding RNA is filed under the name Helianthus annuus (common sunflower). RNAcentral's name for it is "hypothetical non coding rna". Lineage: Eukaryota; Viridiplantae; Streptophyta; Magnoliopsida; Asterales; Asteraceae. The record is from RNAcentral.
UCAACAAAUCAACAAACUCGAUAGCUCUGUUCAUACCCAAAUGGUUAUAACUCUGUUUGAAACAAACAUGAUCUGAAUACAGAAGUAUAGAGUUUAAAGGAGAAUGGAAGAAAAAUAAUUAGGGUUCCGACAAACUGAGAUACCAUGACAACGGUGUGGCGACAACAUUUACUUGCUGAAAAAGUUCACCGUCACCACUCGAUCUACAAACGCGAUGACGACGGAGUUGCUGUUGUUGCUUCAUCAAACCGCCUUUGAACAUAUCCAUCAAAAUCCGACAACCGCUCAUUCAAAAUCCGAAUCGCCUGAUUAGCUUUUCCCAAUUAACUUAUUGCGUGAAACCCUUGUCUCCGAUUAACUGUAGUUGUUCAACCCCUUGUUGCCUGUACCCCAUUGUUUCCGAACGACAGGUGGUAGCGAUGCUAGAGAACAAGGGGUUGGUGGUGAUUGUUAUAUGCUUGGAGAAGAAUGGGGAUAUUGCCAAAGACAGAGAUUAGGUGGUGGUUCUUGAUUGUCGACGGUAGAGGGAUAUUAAAGAGAUUAGGUGGUGGUUCUGAAACUUUGUAAAGUGGGUCCCUCCUUUAAUUGUUUUGAUUUACUUAUAGAAACAAAAUAACUAAGGUGAAAUACCAAUAAUACCCUUGCUUUAAAUAAAGCUAACUGAGUAAUUUAACUCAGUUUGGUGUAAAGGACUUAAAAUGAUAUAAA